CGCAUGCUCCCGGCCGCCAUGGCGGCCGCGGGAAUUCNNNNNNNUACGGGAGGCAGCAGGGGGGAAUCUUGGACAAUGGGCGCAAGCCUGAUCCAGCCAUGCCGCGUGAGUGAUGAAGGCCUUAGGGUCGUAAGGCUCUUUCGCCAGGGAUGAUAAUGACAGUACCUGGUAAAGAAACCCCGGCUAACUCCGUGCCAACAGCCGCGGUAAUACGGAGGGGGUUAGCGUUGUUCGGAAUUACUGGGCGUAAAGCGCGCGUAGGCGGGUUGUUAAGUUAGAGGUGAAAUCCCGGGGCUCAACCCCGGAACUGCCUUUAAUACUGGCAACCUAGAGUUCGAGAGAGGCGAGUGGAAUUCCGAGUGUAGAGGUGAAAUUCGUAGAUAUUCGGAGGAACACCAGUGGCGAAGGCGGCUCACUGGCUCGAUACUGACGCUGAGGUGCGAAAGUGUGGGGAGCAAACAGGAUUAGAUACCCUGGUAGUCCACACCGUAAACGAUGAAUGCCAGUCGUCGGGUAGCAUGCUAUUCGGUGACACACCUAACGGAUUAAGCAUUCCGCCUGGGGAGUACGGUCGCAAGAUUAAAACUCAAAUGAAUUGACGGAAUCACUAGUGAAUUCGCGGCCGCCUGCAGGUCGACCAUAUGGGAGAGCUCCCAACGCGUUGGAUGCAUAGCUUGAGUAUUCUAUAGUGUCACCUAAAUAGCUUGGCGUAAUCAUGGUCAUAGCUGUUUCCUGUGUGAAAUUGUUAUCCGCUCACAAUUCCACACAACAUACGAGCCGGAAGCAUAAAGUGUAAAGCCUNNNGUGCCUAAUGAGUGAGCUAACUCACAUUAAUUGCGUUGCGCUCACUGCCCGCUUUCCAGUCNNGAAACCUGUCGUGCCAGCUGCAUUAAUGA
This 896-nucleotide ribosomal RNA is filed under the name uncultured bacterium. Its description in RNAcentral is "bacterial SSU rRNA". The stretch from base 1 to 657 matches the Rfam family "Bacterial small subunit ribosomal RNA", at positions 295 to 1533 of the family's 1533-position model. The record is from RNAcentral.